Molecule: ribosomal RNA, 706 nt
Filed under: Clostridioides difficile
Lineage: Bacteria; Bacillati; Bacillota; Clostridia; Peptostreptococcales; Peptostreptococcaceae
Description: bacterial LSU rRNA
Rfam family: Bacterial large subunit ribosomal RNA
Source: RNAcentral
GUGAUAAGCUGCGAUAAGCUUCGGGGAGUUGCACGUAAACUUUGAUCCGAAGAUUUCCGAAGGGGGAAGCUCACUUAGAGUAAUGUCUAAGGAUCAUUAAGUGAAUACAUAGCUGAAUGGGGGGAACGCAGGGAACUGAAACCUCUACGUACCUGAAGGAAGAGAAGGAAAUUCGAUUCCGUAAGUAGCGGCGAGCGAACGCGGAUUAGCCAAAACCAAUAAAGUUUUCUUUGUUGGGGUUGCGGACAUAUCAUAACGAAGAGGUAUCGUAAUUGAAGAGGUUUGGAAAGACCCACCACAGAAGGUAAUAGUCCUGUAUGUUAAACGAGAAGACUUUAGAUAUGAUCCAGAGUACGACGGGACACGUGAAACCCUGUGGGAAGCAGGAGGGACCACCCUCCAAGGCUAAAUACUACCUAGUGACCGAUAGCGUAUAGUACCGUGAGGGAAAGGUGAAAAGAACCCCGGGAGGGGAGUGAAAUAGAACCUGAAACCCUGCACUUACAAGCUGUGGAAGCACAUUUCUUGUGUGACCGCGUACUUUUUGUAGAACGGGCCAACGAGUUACGUUAAGUAGCAAGGUUAAGCACUUAAGGUGCGGAGCCGUAGCGAAAGCGAGUUUUAACUGAGCGUUCAGUUACUUGACGUAGACCCGAAACCGGGCGACCUACCCAUGAGCAGGAUGAAGCGAAAGUAAAAUUUCGUG